Molecule: long non-coding RNA, 590 nt
Organism: Cyprinus carpio carpio
Lineage: Eukaryota; Metazoa; Chordata; Actinopteri; Cypriniformes; Cyprinidae
Source: Ensembl
AAAACCUAUUAUCUGAUCCACACUCCGGGACAGAAGAGGGCGGUAUUGCACCAAUAAGCUGGAUGCCAACCGCCGUUAAACUGGAAAGAAGUUACAAUGAGUUACAAUGAUCUUUUGUGGUGGAGCAGGACCUGCAAGGAAAGGGGAAAAAAAGGAAAAACCUGAAACAAAAGAAUAAAGUAGUGGUGCUCAUGGAGAGCAGCACACGAUUGUUUGGAGCAGACACAGCAGCAGUCAGAUUGUCCUGCAUGUGUUCUUCUGCUCUCGCUUCAAGGUAGUGUGGUUCAGAGAGCCGUCAUCAAGGUCUUCCUCAUCCUGUUGCUCAACGACAUCCCCGUUGAGAAGAGUGAGAUUGUGAAGCACAGCGCAGCAGCAGAACUGUCUCAGCUGUGUUGAGAUGAUAGUAAGAUGUGGGGUUCACCGUCUGUAAAUACAUGAUUGUUAGAACAGUUAGUUUGAAAGAAGCUUUGUUUCAUGUGUUGUUGACUUGUACAUGUCUGUAUUUAUUGUGGUGCUAACAUUUAUACAUUCUUUUAAUCAUUUAGACAUGUUUCUUGUUGUCAGUAAAUAAAAUAUAAAUAUUUGAUCUA